This 633-nucleotide ribosomal RNA is filed under the name uncultured bacterium. RNAcentral describes it as "bacterial SSU rRNA". The stretch from base 1 to 542 matches the Rfam family "Bacterial small subunit ribosomal RNA", at positions 338 to 873 of the family's 1533-position model. The record is from RNAcentral.
CCUACGGGAGGCAGCAGUAAGGAAGUAUUGGUCAAUGGGCGCAAGCCUGAACCAGCCAUGCCGCGUGCAGGAAGACGGCCCUAUGGGUUGUAAACUGCUUUUGAACAAGAGAAAACCUCGGUACGUGUACCGAGCUGAUAGUAUUGUUAGAAUAAGCAUCGGCUAACUUCGUGCCAGCAGCCGCGGUAAGACGAAGGAUGCAAGCGUUAUCCGGAUUCAUUGGGUUUAAAGGGUGCGUAGGCGGCCUGAUAAGUCAGUGGUGAAAUCUCUCAGCUUAACUGAGAAACUGCCAUUGAUACUGUCGGGCUUGAGUACAGAUGAUGUGGGCGGAAUAUGACAUGUAGUGGUGAAAUACUUAGAUAUGUCAUAGAACACCGAUUGCGAAGGCAGCUCACAAAACUGUAACUGACGCUGAGGCACGAAAGUGCGGGGAUCAAACAGGAUUAGAUACCCUGGUAGUCCGCACCGUAAACGAUGAUUACUCGUUGUUGGCAAUAUGACCGUCAGCGGCCGACGACGAAGACGAGUAAGUAAGUACCACCCGUAGGGAGGUACGCCGGCGACGGAGAAACGACGAAAGAAGUUAGACGGACGNGGAGAGNGCCGACGGACGACGACGAGGGGAGGUUAGGG